Lolium perenne is the source of this 782-nucleotide long non-coding RNA. RefSeq lists it as uncharacterized. Lineage: Eukaryota; Viridiplantae; Streptophyta; Magnoliopsida; Poales; Poaceae. The record is from RefSeq and is a predicted model, not a curated record.
AUAUUUGGAGAGGCCAAGUUGGUCACCUUCCAGCGCUCAUAUCCGUUAUGCUAGCUUCCGUACUGACACCAAGCGAAGUCAUGCGGCGAAACAUAGGAAAUACUAUGUUGCAUAUUCUUGGUUAUUUAUUUAUUUAUUUAUUUGAUAAGCUGGACUAAUCCAUUUGACUAUAGGACAUGCACUGGAAUGAAAUCAUGCGGAUAUGUGCUGCCAUGUCAUCUGGUUGUCGAACAAACAAGUAUGCUUUACAAAGAAUAGUACGAUGCAAGGCCAUACGGAAGCUGUGAAUGAUAUUCAAAAGGGCUGGCAAUGCCAUGAGUAAGCAAGUAUCCUGGCAAAUAUUAGGGAUCAACGAAAAGAUAAUCAGGGACAAGAUCAUGCUAGCAACUGUAUAUAAAGAGGUGAUCCACAACGGUGAGGGAAGAGUUGAUAGACAUUAUCCAACCAGCCACCUUUCCACUAUUGCUAAAUGUUGCCGCAACGUAGAAUGUUGGUUUUACCAUGUAAACAAAAGAAACAUCCCACACCGUCGAUGAUUUUUGUUGUUGAGAAAACGCAAAAAUAUUUGCGUUUCAUUUCAUUGAAAGGGUAUAAGGUUCAAGGGUACACUCCUCCUAAGAAGAUAUAAUGGUUACAAUAGGUUACAUGAAUGCACAUCCUAUGUCGUCCGGCUAUUGCUGAAUGUUAUCAAUUUUAUAUUAUUGGUUUGCAUGGCAGGUUACUGGUCAUGUGAGUCUUUUUUUUCUACUGCCAUCCAUCUUGCAUUUUUUUUCUUUCUUAUG